This 242-nucleotide unclassified non-coding RNA is filed under the name Glomus sp. RNAcentral's name for it is "partial contains 5.8S ribosomal RNA and internal transcribed spacer 2". The stretch from base 1 to 71 matches the Rfam family "5.8S ribosomal RNA", at positions 84 to 154 of the family's 154-position model. Lineage: Eukaryota; Fungi; Glomeromycota; Glomeromycetes; Glomerales; Glomeraceae. The record is from RNAcentral.
GUGAAUCAUCGAAUUUUUGAACGCAAAUUGCACUCUCUGGUAUUCCGGAGAGUAUGCCUGUUUGAGAGUCAGUUAAAUCAAAAUCGUUGUUUUGUUUCCGCUUUGCGUAGUGACGCAUCGGGUUUGGGUCGUCUUACCUUCGGGUAAGUGACCUAAAAUUUUGCAUGAUUUUCUAACGUAUAUAAAUACUUUUACGUACGUUUGCGAUAGCGUAUACUAGCUGCGGUCAUCCUUAUGAUCCG